This is a long non-coding RNA of Centropristis striata (black sea bass), 711 nucleotides long. RefSeq lists it as uncharacterized. The record is from RefSeq and is a predicted model, not a curated record. Lineage: Eukaryota; Metazoa; Chordata; Actinopteri; Perciformes; Serranidae. The transcript is spliced from 3 exons.
AACACAAGAUUUUGAUCAUUAUUUGUAAUAAUACACAAAGCUACUUUCCCCUGCUUUGAAGUUAGAGCGUGAAUUCCGGAGCUGCGUCUGACUGUAAGUUUUCCUGACAUGCCAACCCAGAGGCAAGAGUUCUCAGAGACAUCCUGGUAUGUAGACUUGCUAGAAUGUUUCAUCUGAAGGAGUUCCAAGAUGGCACAGCGGAUGGCAGCUUCAAAACAUGGAUCACCUCGGUCCACGACGCUGGACUGCACUAUGAGAGGGCACAAAUAUCAAGCCUUUGUGGGAUCACUAUGAAUGCCCUAAGGCGAAAAGCUGGGACAGAUCUUUCCGGCAAUAUAGCGGGACAUUUGCAGGACGGCACUAUGAAAGAGGCUUCUUUGCCUUCUGUGAUAUCUGACUUCCAGCACCGACAAAGUGACCGAUAUCUCUUUGAAUGGACUGACCCCAUAGUACAUCAAGGACCUCAUCCAAAUCUAUACUCCAUCGCUCAAAUUGAGGUCCGAGGGCCAGCUCCAGCCCGUGGUGCCUAGAGCGAGAUUUAAAACCAGGGGGGACAGGGCUCUCUCUGUGGUGGGCCCCAGACUUUGGAAUGCCCUCCCCCUCCAUGUCCCAACAGCCCCCACGGUGGAGUGCUUUAAGUCUCGUCUUAAGACCCAUUUUUAUUCCCUGGCUUUUUAACUUUGCGUGAGUUUUGUGGUCCUCUGUGUUUUU